This is a small nuclear RNA of Stegostoma tigrinum, 164 nucleotides long. RefSeq annotates it as U1 spliceosomal RNA. Lineage: Eukaryota; Metazoa; Chordata; Chondrichthyes; Orectolobiformes; Stegostomatidae. The transcript has a single exon. The record is from RefSeq and is a predicted model, not a curated record.
CUCCUUACCUGACAGUGGAGAUACUAUGAUGAACAAGGUGGUUCUCCCAGGAUGAGGCUAUCCCAUUGCACUUUGGGUAUGCUGAUGCCUGCGAUGUCUCUAAAUGCAGGAUACUCAACUGCAAAAUUUGUGGUAGUGGGGCACUGCCUUCGUGCCCUUUCUUG